UUCCAACGGUACAAGAUGAGCAUGCGUCCCAUUAGCUAGUUGGUGUGGUAACGGCAUACCAAGGCAACGAUGGGUAGGGGUCCUGAGAGGGAGAUCCCCCACACUGGUACUGAGACACGGACCAGACUCCUACGGGAGGCAGCAGUGAGGAAUAUUGGUCAAUGGGCGCAAGCCUGAACCAGCCAUGCCGCGUGCAGGAUGACGGUCCUAUGGAUUGUAAACUGCUUUUGUACAGGAAGAAACCCUCCCUUGUAAGGGAGCUUGACGGUACUGUAAGAAUAAGGAUCGGCUAACUCCGUGCCAGCAGCCGCGGUAAUACGGAGGAUCCAAGCGUUAUCCGGAAUCAUUGGGUUUAAAGGGUCCGUAGGCGGUUUUAUAAGUCAGUGGUGAAAUCUGGUCGCUCAACGAUCAAACGGCCAUUGAUACUGUAAGACUUGAAUUACUUGGAAGUAACUAGAAUAUGUAGUGUAGCGGUGAAAUGCUUAGAGAUUACAUGGAAUACCGA
Molecule: ribosomal RNA, 505 nt
Filed under: Flavobacterium columnare
Lineage: Bacteria; Pseudomonadati; Bacteroidota; Flavobacteriia; Flavobacteriales; Flavobacteriaceae
Description: bacterial SSU rRNA
Rfam family: Bacterial small subunit ribosomal RNA
Source: RNAcentral